GAAACAAUUGGGGACCCCCCCAAAAAAUUUUGGGGACCCCAACAAGAAUUUGGGGAACCCCCCCAAAGAAUUUUGGGGAACCCCCCAAAAAAGUUAGGGACCCCCCCAAAAUUUUGGGGAACCCCCCCAAAAAAUUCGGGGAGCCCCUCAAUUUUGGAGACCCCCACAAAAAAAAUUUGGGGACCCCCCCCAAAAAGAUUAGGGACAGCACAAAAUUUUGGGGACCCCCCCCAAAAACAAAUUGGGGACCCCUUCAAAAAUUUUGGGGACCCUCCAAGAAUUGGGGGACCCCCUCAAAAUUUUGGGGACCCGCACCAAAAAAAUUUGGGGAACCCGCCUAAAAAUUUGGGGACCCCCCCCAAAAAAAUUGGGGACCACUCCAAAUUUUUGCGAACUCCCCGAAAAUUUUGGGAACCUCCCCAAAAAAUUCGGGGACCCCCCCCAAAAAAGUUGGGGAACCCCCCAAAAUUCUGGGGAAUUCCCCAAAACGUUUGGGGACCCCCUCAAAAUUUUGGGACCCCCCAAAAAAAUUUGGGGACACCCCCAAAAUUUUGGGCACCCCCACAAACAAAUUGGAGACCCCCCAGAAAUUUGGGGAACUCCCCAAAAUUUUGCGUUGUCCUCAGACUUUUUGGGGAGUUCUGCAAAAUUUUGGGGACACCCCCAAAAAAAUUUGGGAACACCCCUACAAAUUUUCGGGACCCCCCCCAAAAAUCUGGAGACACCCCCAAAAUUUUGGGGGACCCACCUUAAAUUUUGGGACCUCCCAAAAUUUUGGGGACCCCCCCAAACAAAUUGUGGGCCCCAAAAAAUUCGGGGAACCCCCAAAAAAAUUUGGGAAACUCUCCCCCAAAAAUUUAGGACCCCCCCAAAAAAUAUGGGGACCCCCCCAAAAAUCUAGGACCCCCCCAAAAUUUAGGGACCCCCCAAAAUUUUGGGGACCCCCCUCAAAUAUUGGGGACCCCCCCCAAAAAAAUUUGGGGAACCCCUUCCCCAAAAAUUUAGGAACCCCCCAAAAAUUUGGGGCCCCCCCCA
RNAcentral lists this long non-coding RNA (1035 nucleotides) under Anser brachyrhynchus (Pink-footed goose). RNAcentral's name for it is "lncRNA (ENSABRG00000021641.1)". The record is from RNAcentral. Lineage: Eukaryota; Metazoa; Chordata; Aves; Anseriformes; Anatidae.